Molecule: ribosomal RNA, 595 nt
Filed under: Lactarius sp. KIINA
Lineage: Eukaryota; Fungi; Basidiomycota; Agaricomycetes; Russulales; Russulaceae
Description: eukaryotic LSU rRNA
Rfam family: 5.8S ribosomal RNA (bases 181-334)
Source: RNAcentral
CAAAAGUUGUGCACGCCUGAGCGCGUCCUCUCACAUAACAUCCAUCUCACCCUUUUGUGCACCACCGCGUGGGCACCCUUUGGGAUCGAACCGAUCCGGGAGGGGGCUUGCGUUUUCACACAAACCCCUUUUAAAAAAAGUGUAGAAUGUCCCCAUUUUGCGAUGACACGCAAUCAAUACAACUUUCAACAACGGAUCUCUUGGCUCUCGCAUCGAUGAAGAACGCAGCGAAAUGCGAUACGUAAUGUGAAUUGCAGAAUUCAGUGAAUCAUCGAAUCUUUGAACGCACCUUGCGCCCCUUGGUAUUCCGAGGGGCACACCCGUUUGAGUGUCGUGAAAAUCUCAACCUUCUCGGUUUUCUUCUGGACACUGAAGGAGGCUUGGACUUUGGAGGCCUUUGCUGGCAUCUCUCUCUUUUUGAGAGCCAGCUCCUCUUAAAUGAAUUAGCAGGGUCCUCUUUGCCGAUCCUCGACAUGUGAUAAGAUGUUUCCAUGACUUGGUUUCUGGCUCUGUUGCCUUUGGGACCUGCUUCUAACCGUCUCAAAUGAGACAACGGUUUGGGUGUGUCUCCCUCCUCGGGGAAACACUCUCAACC